ACCUUGUUGCCCGAAAGUCUCUCCACUUUGCUUAAUUCAACAUAGUUACAAUAGCUACUGAAUUACUGUAGCAAGCUAUCCCGACUAAUGUGCAAUACUCUAAGAUGGUUAGCGUUCUGCUUUAUGUAAUGUAGGUUCAAAGAUUGUUGGAAUGCAGCUUUUAGCACUACCAAAGGACUCGUGACUCAAGUUUGGACUCGAGGACUAGGGACUUUACUGGGACUCAUGGUUUAGCGACUAGACUACAUCGCUGCAGGGAAGAGAGCUGUUUUGCUUAUACCUAGCACUUCUAAAUGUCGGUCAAACAUGAAAUUCAUGGAAAAUAUUGUGUAUUGUGUUGACUAAUUAUGUGGACUGAGGAAGGGGAGGACAUGUUGCCACUUUGUGACAGAUGUUUACACAACAUUGUGGUGCCAUGUAACUUUUCUAGUUCCAGAGCUGUAUGGCAUGUAGUAAAAGGUUAUCCAAGUCCUCAGGCUGCAGUAUCUGCCAGUUAUCAUCCUUGCCUUCAGGGACUGAGUUCAUUGGUGGGACAGGAAUUUACAUUCUCUACCUAAAUAAGGAGCCAAUUGAUCAAUUAACUCAGAAGCAAGAAUUUGGUUGGUAUUUGUUGUAGGACUAAUGUUGAAAAAAAUAUUUUUGAUUCACUUUUACUUUACAAUUGAAAAACAGGCUAAAGACUGAAUGCUUGUUGAUUUAGAAAGUGACAUAACAUAGUGAUGGUUUCUGAGGGCUCUAUGCACCCUCAGUCCAGAGGAGGUUUUAGUUAGUGUGCCUAUGUUAUGAGGAAGCACCUGUUCCCUCAGUGUGGUGAAUGACAUGGCUGGUUUCCUGUCUGUUACCUCUCAUUACAUAAAUAAUAUCCAGUGUGGAUACGCUCUACCACAAGACCAAAAUGUUCCCACUAUGUCUGUUAUUUUAGUUGAAUCAUCAUUAAUUUGUAUGUUAAUCUAUGUUUUUGUCCAUCCAUACAUCAACUCAUAUCAACAUCAGUUUUAUGACGAGCGAUAUGACACUGUAAACGAUAAUGGCAAAUGUAGGUACCAGUGUUCAACACAUGAUUAAAGACCUAGACCUUUCAUUGCUACCUCUUAUCAUCAAGAUAACUUAGCAGAUUUUAGGCAAAUAUUUUCAGACUGCAUAUGUAUAGCUCAGCUAAGAAAAGGGCCAACCCUUUGUUAUUUUGAUAUUAUCGUUGUAGGUGUCUUGUCACAUGAUAUAACUAAAGAAAACAAAACAUGUUUUUUUAUGUAUGACUAUAGCAUUAGGUCUGUGUUGCGCAAAGUUGGAUAUCAGUAUUAGAUAUAAGGUAUCACUGCACUAACUCUGCACUAAAUCUAUUUGGAUUGGGGCAGGUAUUGUCGUAUAAGCAGUUAAUUGUCACAGAGUCUGCUGAGGUUUCAGUAAGUAUGUGCUGCCAUGACCAGCACUUGGGCUGAGGUUUUUGUAGUGGUGUGUAUCACUGUGGCUGCCCCCAUACACAGUGACACACACCAUUACAAAAACUCACGUCAAAUGCUCCCACAGUAAGGCUAAUGUAUUCAUGUGAAACAUGUUAUUCAUUUGCAGUCAAAAUCGACAUUUGUCAAAACGUCUAUAUGUGACGAAUAAUUCUACUUUAAAAAUGUCAAUAUGUUACUUUUUAAGUCCAGCCAAUUCAAUGUUCUUCCAAAUAUGAUGAAAAAAGCUAGUUCAAAGUUAUUAACAUGAUAUUUAUGUGAGAACGUUUAAUUGCAGACAGAAUUCAAUGGUUGCUCCAAAUAUGACAUAAAAAGGAAAAGCAUGAGACCAGCUAGUUUAAGAUUAUAGAUUGUUUCAUUUUGUUAGGUAUGCGUAACUGGCUAUAAGGGAGUCAGGUGCAGGAGAACAGCUAGUUUAAGAUUAUAGAUUGUUUCAUUUUGUUAGGUAUGCGUAACUGGCUAUAAGGGAGUCAGGUGCAGGAGAACAGCUAGUUUAAGAUUAUAGAUUGUUUCAUUUUGUUAGGUAUGCGUAACUGGCUAUAAGGGAGUCAGGUGCAGGAGAACAGCUAGUUUAAGAUUAUAGAUUGUUUCAUUUUGUUAGGUAUGCGUAACUGGCUAUAAGGGAGUCAGGUGCAGGAGAACAGCUAGUUUAAGAUUAUAGAUUGUUUCAUUUUGUUAGGUAUGCGUAACUGGCUAUAAGGGAGUCAGGUGCAGGAGAACAGCUAGUUUAAGAUUAUAGAUUGUUUCAUUUUGUUAGGUAUGCGCAACUGGCUAUAAGGGAGUCAGGUGCAGGAGAACAGCUAGUUUAAGAUUAUAGAUUGUUUCAUUUAGUUAGAUAUGCGCAACUGGCUAUAAGGGAGUCAGGUGCAGGAGAACAGCUAGUUUAAGAUUAUAGAUUGUUUAAUUUUGUUAGGUAUGCGCAACUGGCUAUAAGGGAGUCAGGUGCAGGAGAACAGCUAGUUUAAGAUUAUAGAUUGUUUCAUUUUGUUAGGUAUGCGCAACUGGCUAUAAGGGAGUCAGGUGCAGGAGAGCAGCUAGUUUAAGAUUAUAGAUUGUUUCAUUGUGUUAGGUAUGCGUAACUGGCUAUAAGGGAGUCAGGUGCAGGAGAACAGCUAGUUUAAGAUUAGAGAUUGUUUCAUUUUGUUAGGUAUGCGUAACUGGCUAUAAGGGAGUCAGGUGCAGGAGAACAGCUAGUUUAAGAUUAUAGAUUGUUUCAUUUUGUUAGGUAUGCGUAACUGGCUGUAAGGGAGUCAGGUGCAGGAGAACAGCUAGUUUAAGAUUAUAGAUUGUUUCAUUUUGUUAGGUAUGCGUAACUGGCUAUAAGGGAGUCAGGUGCAGGAGAGUGUUGGUGUUUACAUACUGCAAAACAACGACGCUGGACAGAGUGGAAUCAGGUGUAUCAAAACGGCAGUUUAUUGGUCAAAGAUAUCUUGUCCUACAUCGUGCACGGACCUAAGCAAUAUGACUCUGUGAGGAGUCAGAAAAAUGAGGCUCUCUCGCCAGAGUUUACACCAGAAUGUAUACACAGAAUAAUGUAGGUGGAGUCUCGUCGUGUUGAUCUUCUGACUGGUCCUGAAGAGUUGGAGGCGGGCCCUGCUCUAGCCAGAGCAGGAGCCCCAUUGGUGCACAGCAAAGUCCUUUGCUCUUGGCACCCGACCAGUAGGGGGGGGGGGGGGGGUAGAGUGUGAGUGUACAGUGCUCAUGAAAUGUAUGUGUGUCAAGGAAGCGUGGAUUUUAGGGACUGGUAAUGUCUGCUUUAGGCUCAGGUGUUUCCUGUUUAUGCAGGAGUGCAUGCAAGGGUCAAUGUCAGUGAGAUAGCUUGGCACUUCUAAGCUCGUUAGUGUUGCAGGCUGUUCUUUGUAGUUACAGGGGAGUAUAUUUGCAUGAUGGCAGCUAUGUGUCCUUCGGAUAAUCAUGUUAUUGCACGUAGGCUCUAAACUUGACUGAGGACACUGGGUAGCCAAAGGAGCCUUAUAUUUCGGUGAACAAAACACACGGCACUAAGAACGCUAGACACAAUAUGGGUUGACAUAACCCAGCGCAGACCAGUCUAGUGUGCACAUACACGAAACAACAAACAAUGCCACACACAGACAAGGGGGAACAGAGGGUUAUAUACACAUCUAAUACUGAGGGAAUUGAAACCAGGUGUGUAGGAAAACAAGACAAGACAAAUGGAAAAAUGAAAGGUGGAUUGGCGAUGGCUAGAAAGCUGGUGAUGUCGACGGCCGAACGCCGCCCGAACAAGGAGAGGAACCGACUUUGGCGGAAGUCAUGACACAUUUUAAGAUUAAACAGUUGUAUUCAACAUAGCCCAUAGUCAUUAUAUCCAGAAUUCAUAUAAGGCGUAUUCAGAAUAUUCCAGUAUGAUCCGUCACUUAAUACAGCUUCUGGUGAGAUAACCACUUGUGCUGAGGUUUUUGUACUGGUGUAUAUCAUUGUGGCUCCCAGUGUACACACUGAUGCAUGCCAGUACAAAAACUCAUGCAACAUAGCGACUCCCUCAAUAAAACCAUUUGUUAUUUUAUCUCCAACAUUGACACCAUAGUUUUCCCCCAAUAAACUUUCAUUAACAAUCAACUUUAAAAAAUGUAUCAUAAUAGAAUUGGAAAUCAUGUUAAUGCAUCAACUGGUUUUCCACUUCAUACCAACUUUAUGUCCAAUUCUCAUCGAUAAAUGUGUCUUCCUAAUUAACAGAUGAUACAUAUGUUGGUAAAACAGAAGAAGAAUUUUAAAAAGCUAUGAAUAUAUCAAGCAUGGUGAACCAAAGGUAUGAGAAACACACAUUACGCUCUUCACCUAGUUUCUCCCCUAAUACACACUCUAAACCCAGCAUCAGUGUUAGAGAUGGGGUAGGGUUUUUGUCAUGGGCUGUAUCACUGUGGCCAUUAUUCUGCACUGUGAUACAUCCUUGUACAAUAACCCCUCUCCUGUCCAGACGGGGGAAUUUACAAUGUAGUUUGGGCAGUUGUGUGAGACAUCAGACAUCGAUGCCAUUUCUCUCAAUAUCAAAAGGAAGCAUCUGUUGUGUUUGGUACAACAUUGUUUCCCAACAAUUGAUUAUGAACAAUGUGGUUUCAACGCGUUUAUGGAGGAAACAUAAAAGCGUCUCAUCAAUCAUUGAUGUAGCCUAUCAAUUAACCUCAGAUGGAGUACUUGAGAUUGCUAUAUAUCAGUAGUUGACGAUAUAGAAUGUUUCUAAAUGAUGUUGCAGUAGAAGGAAUACUCUUUGGACUAAGGCAGUAUUUGAUAUGACUAUAAUAGGAGACUUGGUAUUUGAUUCCUCCUGUAAAUAAAGCUAUAUGUCUGGACAACGUGAUAACCAUGAUUGUUACAUCUGAAAUGUCAGGACUGACCACCUUUAAAGAGUGCUACUGUAUAUUUAUAUGGACAAGCGUUUCAGAAAAACAACAUGAUUGUCAUACAACAUUUUGGCUAAAAACAGCACAGUAGGAAUCAGUAUGAAAUAAGAAACAUAGGACACAAUAGUAGAAUAGCAACCAAUACUGGAAUGGAGAAAAUGAAGAUGAGAAUUUGACCAUUCAAAUUCAUAGCAGUGAAAUGCUCUCCCAUAUGGGUCCAGAGUGAAGACAAUGUUUACACAGUACAAUGCUGUCAACCCUCAUGUCCAUGGAGAGGUUUUUGUAUUGAUGUUUAUCACUGUGGCCACUCCUGUACACAGUGACUCACACCAUUACAAAAACCCAUGUCACAUAUAGCCACAGAAUCCUCCGUUAAACUCACUGAAACCUCCAAUGUCUCCAUGUGCACAAUGUCUUUUUCCAAUUCUGUGUCAUUUACAACAACCAUUGAAGUUCAAUUCAAGCUAAUUUUUUUGAUCACAUGAUUUACAGUGUACAUAAAAAUAGUUGUUCCUCAGUGUAUGUCGGUUUUAAAGUUUUUCUUGUCUGAAGUAGGCCUAAAGAGUAUGGACAUUUGUUUGAGUUGAUGUGUAUAAAUGUACCAGCACGUUCAGGUUAACUGCCUAUAUACAAUCAGAAUGUACAUGUCUGUGUUCCUUAGGUGUCAGCACUCUCACACUCUGUGCUUGGUAGUGUCGUGGAAAUUUCCUUAAUUACCAACUGAUGAGAGAGCAAAUCACACACGAGUCAGAGUUAUGCUUAAUCUUCACCUUUAAUAAUAAUUAAGCUUUUGCAAUAGCAUUUUGACUUUCAACAGUUCAGUAUCUCUAAUGAAAAGUUGAGAGUCCUCAACAUAAUGGCAAAUGGGUUCCUUUAUAGCAAAGAUCCACCCCCUCUCAGGUAGAGGUGGAAGCUUUUUGUCAUGGACUGUAUCAUUGUGACCCGCUAUAUGGCACAGUGGUUUAACCCUGUACAAACCCCCCACCACUCUGUGCAGGGCCAAAGCUGGAAUAAACAUGUGCAACUUUUCACAGCAACCACAACAUGAUCUAUUGGUUUUAAUCUGAUGAACAGAAUGUCAAAUUCUGUUUUACUACUUAUUAAUAUCUAUUUUAUUAGUUUGGGCUUUCAGCUUUUGCUCUGUCAGGCAUUUUGACCAUAACAAGGAUUAAAGAACUUUGCUGGGACAGUUUUAUAGACAGUGAUUAAGUACAUUUUUAGUUCUUAUUUAAAUGUUAAAAUACUGCUUUUUUAAUUUAAAAAAAAGAUAUUCUGUUGUCGGAAUCCAAUAGUUGGAGAAGCUGUUUAAAUGUUUAUCUUAUAUUUGUGUAUGAGAUGAAGUAGGUAGCCAUUUCCACUACAGUGGUUUUUGUUAUGGUUUGUAACACUGUGCCCCCGUUGUUAUCACGAUGACACACACCCAUACAAAAACCUCUCCACACACCAGAGACCAAUACAUCUAUCAGGUACCUGUCAUAUUUCCCUGGAGUCAUCACAAAUCUCUCUGAUUCAAUAAAUUAUCUUAUUUUUA
Long non-coding RNA from Oncorhynchus kisutch (coho salmon), 6353 nucleotides. RefSeq lists it as uncharacterized. The transcript is spliced from 2 exons. The record is from RefSeq and is a predicted model, not a curated record. NCBI's taxonomy places the organism in Eukaryota, Metazoa, Chordata, Actinopteri, Salmoniformes, Salmonidae.